This 247-nucleotide ribosomal RNA is filed under the name uncultured bacterium. RNAcentral describes it as "partial 16S ribosomal RNA". It matches the Rfam family "Bacterial small subunit ribosomal RNA", at positions 109 to 353 of the family's 1533-position model. The record is from RNAcentral.
AGUGACGCGUGGGUAACCUGCCUUAUACAGGGGGAGUAACAGUCAGAAAUGGCUGCUAAUACCGCAUAAGCGCACAGAGCUGCAUGGCUCAGUGUGAAAAACUCCGGUGGUAUAAGAUGGACCCGCGUUGGAUUAGCUUGUUGGCAGGGUAACGGCCUACCAAGGCGACGAUCCAUAGCCGGCCUGAGAGGGUGAACGGCCACAUUGGGACUGAGACACGGCCCAGACUCCUACGGGAGGCAGCAUG